UGGCGCUUUCGGGUGAGAGUGAGGCCGGGGAGCGACCAUGGCGUCGCUGAAUAGUAGCGCUGUCGUCUGCGUGAUUUGCUUGGAGAAACCCAAAUACCGCUGCCCCGCCUGCCGUGUGCCUUAAGCAGUACAACUCUAAAACUCUUAUUGAGAAAAAAAGAUCAGCUGUUACUGCAAAAACUAUAAAGCCUGCAGAAGACAAAGGUGGAUUGGUUGAUUUCAAACCAGCCAACCUAGGAAAAGGUUUCAGAUGAUGAUGACUCUGUAGAUGAUUUUCUCAAUAGUGAUGAGGAAAAGGACAGUUUCUUUGCAGAAUUUCAAGAAUUUAGGGGAGUCUGCAGCAUUAAGAAGCCUACUGUUCAGGGGCGCCUGGGUGGUUCAGUCGGUUAAGUGGAAUUGCAAGUGCCCCGGUGCAGUGAUGAACCACACCAGUGAGUCGGAUCUAUGAAGGUAGUAAAAUGUGGGAAGUUCUCUGUGGCCCUGAGGUUUCUUAGUCCUGGUUUGGUAACCAACCCAUGACACCUGUCAGGGCUUGAGAUGUAGAUGGGAGCCCCAUGCCACUGGUGGCUGUGGCAGCUCUAGGUUGCAGGCGGGAGCUGUCACUUGUUCACGUGUACUUAAUGUUGCUGUGGGAGUAGUUUGGCAGCUUAGUGUUGAUCGAAUGUCUUUGGCAAGGCAGCUGGCAGGAAAAGGCCUUUUGGACACAAAGGCACUGAAGGAUUGCUCAGCCUAGUGAGGCUAGGAUGUCAGAAUAACUCACAUGUGGCCCAGGCUGUGUCUUUCCAGCAGAAUCUGAUUAAAGCCAGUAACACUGUGGAGUGAAGGUUCAGGGCAGAUGUCAGCAUAAGGCAGUGGAGACUUCCUGCAGUGGAACUUGAUCGAGCCCUAGGGAGAGAGAUACAGCUUACCUCUGGUUCCUAGGAGUGCCAGCUGUACGGGUGCCUAGAGCAAAUGCUAGAAAUGCAGGUAUGGACAAGUACUGGUAUCAUUCAGUUAACGUUCUUUUCUCAUUCUAAACCAGCGGCAAAGUCCAGAGUCCAAAUAUUUAAUUUUAUAUUAAAAUACAGAAUUUCACAUCCAUUCUGUGUGAUGCACAAGGGAGCUCUCCCCUACAAGGAGUAUUUAUUAACUGUCAUACUCGUAAAACUGUUUACAACUGGAAGAGCAAACAGUUACACUUCUGUUUAUACUCUGGCUAGCCUGCAUGCUGUCAUGGGAGAUUUCAUCCAGAUUAUGCCCUAGAGUAAUUCCUCUGGUAUGGAAAUUCACUGUUUCCUUCUGUUUGCCUUGUCAGUGUCACUUAAUCCUUGCUGUGACCCCAUGUAAUAGGAAUGUAAGCCCCAAGAGGCAGAGGCUCACCUUCCUUUUUCACUGAUGCUAGCAACAGUGCCUGGUGCAAAACAGUACACAGAAAGGGAAUGGAUAAAUGAACAAGUGAAAUCUCUUGAGUUCCAGGUUGACUUCUGCAGACCUGCCUCUUUCUCUUCACCUCCACAUCCUGCUCUGGGCUGGGCAGGUCUUGUCACGCCAGAGUCCCAAGCUCCACCCCAACACUGGCCCUGCCCACUGUGGGGCCUGGCCCACUUACCGGAUGGGGAAGCCAGCGGCACUGAUGUGAAUGGUCUCCACAAGGCCACAGGCCUCCAGCUGACUGAGGACCUGCAUUGGUGAGGAGACAGGGUGGGCACCUGUGGUGUGGGACCAGCAGACCAGAAAUACCACUCCUCCUGCCCUCUGAGGCUCUGGUCCGUGUGAACCUGCAGGCUGUCCUCAUGCUUGACUGAUGAGGGUAUACUCUCCUGCUUCUGAUACCGUGGAGUUCUCCUGAGGCUGGAGCUGUUUCAGGGGAGAGGAGGGGCCCUCACAGACAAAACACCAUCUGAGUCUGCCUGGAGAGCUACAGAUGGCUCAGAUGUGGGCACCGAGAACACACAGACACCCUUGCCCAGACACUGGUGGACGAGGAGAUGGGGGUGCAGAGAAGGGAAAAGAGCUGCCUGGAGUUGCACACUGGACUGGACUGUUUUUUCGAAGGAGUGCUCCUAAAAGGGUGAGCCCCUGCUACCUAUGAA
This is an RNA transcript of Lynx canadensis (Canada lynx), 2072 nucleotides long. It is a transcript of the gene named zinc finger HIT-type containing 3, with no coding region annotated. The record is from RefSeq and is a predicted model, not a curated record. NCBI's taxonomy places the organism in Eukaryota, Metazoa, Chordata, Mammalia, Carnivora, Felidae. The transcript has 7 exons.